Molecule: ribosomal RNA, 491 nt
Filed under: uncultured bacterium
Lineage: Bacteria
Description: partial 16S ribosomal RNA
Rfam family: Bacterial small subunit ribosomal RNA
Source: RNAcentral
AGUGAACGCUGGCGGUAGGCCUAACACAUGCAAGUCGAACGGCAGCACAGUAAGAGCUUGCUCUUACGGGUGGCGAGUGGCGGACGGGUGAGGAAUACAUCGGAAUCUACUUUUUCGUGGGGGAUAACGUAGGGAAACUUACGCUAAUACCGCAUACGACCUACGGGUGAAAGCAGGGGAUCUUCGGACCUUGCGCGAUUGAAUGAGCCGAUGUCGGAUUAGCUAGUUGGCGGGGUAAAGGCCCACCAAGGCGACGAUCCGUAGCUGGUCUGAGAGGAUGAUCAGCCACACUGGAACUGAGACACGGACCAGACUCCUACGGGAGGCAGCAGUGGGGAAUAUUGGACAAUGGGCGCAAGCCUGAUCCAGCCAUACCGCGUGGGUGAAGAAGGCCUUCGGGUUGUAAAGCCCUUUUGUUGGGAAAGAAAAGCAGCAGGUUAAUACCCCGCUGUUCUGACGGUACCCAAAGAAUAAGCACCGGCUAACUUCGU